RNAcentral lists this ribosomal RNA (510 nucleotides) under uncultured Tepidimonas sp. Its description in RNAcentral is "bacterial SSU rRNA". It matches the Rfam family "Bacterial small subunit ribosomal RNA", at positions 35 to 507 of the family's 1533-position model. The record is from RNAcentral. Lineage: Bacteria; Pseudomonadati; Pseudomonadota; Betaproteobacteria; Burkholderiales.
AGUAUUAGGAACCGCGUGGCCGGCUAUGUACUUUACACAAUACGUAAGUCGUAAACGGUACGACGUCCGUUCGGUGCUGACGAGUGGCGAAGGUGAGUAUGCAGUCGGAACGUCGCCAGAGGGUGGGGAUAACGUACAGCGAAAGCUGUGCUAAUACCGCAUGUGAUCUGAGGAUGAAAGCGGGGGACCAAGCAGCAAUGUUUGGCCUCGCGCCUCUGGAGCGGCCGAUGUCAGAUUAGGUAGUUGGUGGGGUAAAGGCCUACCAAGCCGACGAUCUGUAGCUGGUCUGAGAGGACGACCAGCCACACUGGGACUGAGACACGGCCCAGACUCCUACGGGAGGCAGCAGUGGGGAAUUUUUGGACAAUGAGCGCAAGCCUGAUCCAGCAAUGCCGCGUGCGGGAAGAAGGCCUUCGGGUUGUAAACCGCUUUUGUACGGAACGAAAAGGCUCUGGCUAAUACCUGGGGCUGAUGACGGUACCGUAAGAAUAAGCACCGGCUAACUACGUG